AAAGUCAUUUAAUCUCUCCAGGCCCAUUUCCCUUUCUGUAAAAUUGAGUAAUCAUACCUAAGGGGGAGGUGAUUUAGCAAUGAGAUGAUUUAACACACUUCACACAGGGUGAGCGCGCAGGUGAUAGUUGGUAUUAUUAUUAAUGCUGCCUUUGGUGGCAGGGAAGACUUUCAGAAAGGCCUGUGAUUAUUUUACUGGCUCAGAAAAUCUAGGAAGUCAGAGUGGCUCCAUGGCUUUGAGGAUCUGCCGGUGACUUUAUCCACAGUGUUUCUGCUGAAAAUCCAGAGGGAACUGGAAGUUAAGCCAGUUCGGUGGGUUCAAGAGAACUGGUGUAUUAAGCCCAGUGAAGCACAGGUAUUUGGGGCUACCAAAAACCCAGUGAGGUGAGGCCUCACACUCAGGGAAACCUCUGGGACAAGGAGGAGGGGAUCGGUUCAGACAUCGGCUCAGUAACGGCAGGUUUCUAACUGGGCCGAAGGUGAGGCCUGCCUGGGGGCAGGACGACUCUCCAAGCCCAGCUUGGCUGCUUGCCUCCUACUGUGAGGAGGAGGAGAUGGAGUUAAACCACGUGUUCCAGCCAACAGCAUGUGCGAAGACUGUGUGACAAGGAGGAGCAGAGCAUGGCCAGUGUGGCUGGAGCACAAAGCAGGGGGUGGCAGAGGCCAGCCCUGCAGGGCCUCGUAGACCCUGCCAAGAGCAGUGAGAAAAAAUUGGAAGGUUGUAAAUGGGGGUGGUAGAGUUGGGGACUGUAACGUGAUCAGAUUUGCAAUUUUGAAAAGCCUGUUCUGGUCAGUGGGUCCAGAGUGGACACAGGAAGACCAGUUGGGAGGGUAUUAACCCCUGUGGAUGAACACAGUCUGAGGCCUAUUCAUGCUUUUCUGGGUCCUUCUGUGAAUGUAGGUGUGUACUGUGCAGA
Molecule: long non-coding RNA, 916 nt
Organism: Vicugna pacos (alpaca)
Lineage: Eukaryota; Metazoa; Chordata; Mammalia; Artiodactyla; Camelidae
Source: RefSeq, a predicted model, not a curated record